RNAcentral lists this ribosomal RNA (253 nucleotides) under uncultured bacterium. RNAcentral's name for it is "partial 16S ribosomal RNA". It matches the Rfam family "Bacterial small subunit ribosomal RNA", at positions 524 to 776 of the family's 1533-position model. The record is from RNAcentral.
UACGAAGGGGGCUAGCGUUGCUCGGAUUGACUGGGCGUAAAGGGCGCGUAGGCGGUUCGUACAGUCAGACGUGAAAUUCCUGGGCUCAACCUGGGGGCUGCGUUUGAUACGUGCGGACUUGAGUGCGGAAGAGGGUCGUGGAAUUCCCAGUGUAGAGGUGAAAUUCGUAGAUAUUGGGAAGAACACCGGUGGCGAAGGCGGCGACCUGGUCCGGUACUGACGCUGAGGUGCGAAAGCGUGGGGAGCAAACAGG